This is a long non-coding RNA of Dicentrarchus labrax (European seabass), 1143 nucleotides long. RefSeq lists it as uncharacterized. The record is from RefSeq and is a predicted model, not a curated record. Lineage: Eukaryota; Metazoa; Chordata; Actinopteri; Moronidae. The transcript is spliced from 2 exons.
GGGACACACUGGAGAUGGCCAAGGCCAUCUGGCAUCUACUUUUCUCCACCAAAAACCUGAGGUGGACCACACUGCACAGACCCUCCUGACAAUGGACAAUAUUAUACAAGUGUCUGAUGUGAUGAGAGCACUGUGUCCACCAUUCACUGAGGAGGAGCAUGGAGAGGAGGAAACCAACCAGCUUCCUGAUGGAAUCUACUUUCUCUUCCUUCCUCCCCUGCAGGUCCAAGGGCUGUAUGAGGCAGAGCAGAGGGGGAAAGAGAGGGCAAGGACAUGAAGAAAGGAUGCUCCUCGGUUGUACACCGCUCUGCAUUCAUGGUAAGCUUUUCAGUUUCUAUUUCACCUUUCAUUUAGAGUUUUAUUUGGUGGUGCACUGCCUCAUCUCUUGUGUGUGGAGUUUCAUCCAAGGAGCUGUGACUGUUCCUUCCUGAGCGUGCAGCACGGGGAAGGUACGCCGGGUCACCUCACUUUCCUCUCUCAACCAAUAACACAACAUAUUCUGACUGUCAAUCCCCAACAAACAGCCACCCUCCUCAGAGUCUUUUUGUGCCACCCAGACUGAGAGUUUGAACGCACGCACAAACCCUAACCGUCCUGUAUCAGCAAACCACAGAGCCACUAACACCCACGUUGUUCUUUUAUUUUCUGACAAAUGUCUGUCUUUACUCUUCUGUUCUGUACACAUUCUUUCUGUCUUUGUCCUGUUGUUCUGUAUUUUGUUUCUCGUGUUAAAAUAAUAAAAGAAAACUCAAGAACAUCCUCAGAAUUUAGAUCAGGCCAAUGUUUUUGUCUCACUAGAAUCACAGAACUAUUUACAGAACAAGGUUUUUUUAAUAAAAGUUGCUAUAUUUUCUUAAAUACAGACACAUUUUACACAUUUGAUACUUAUUAAAAGUAAAUUAUCUGUUCUCAUGUCAGCCGAGCACUCCCUCAGCCCUACUGCACAGCUUUGCACUGAACCGUGCUCCAGCAUUCUUUAAACACAGUUGGUUCCUCCUAGACCGGCUCCACUGGAAGAACCACAUUGACAGGUUCCAGCUUCCAGUCCAACCCUCAGCCCCAGGUUCACACCCACCAGCCCAAGCUUGCCCAGGUCUGCACUCCCUCUCCCCCUCUUUUCAAUAAACACUAGUUUCCUAUUAA